RNAcentral lists this ribosomal RNA (253 nucleotides) under uncultured bacterium. Its description in RNAcentral is "partial 16S ribosomal RNA". It matches the Rfam family "Bacterial small subunit ribosomal RNA", at positions 524 to 776 of the family's 1533-position model. The record is from RNAcentral.
UACGUAGGGGGCUAGCGUUGUCCGGAAUCAUUGGGCGUAAAGCGCGCGUAGGCGGCCCGGUAAGUCCGCUGUGAAAGUCAAAGGCUCAACCUUUGAAUGUCAGCGGAUACUGCCGGGCUAGAGUCCGGAAGAGGCGAGUGGAACUCCUGGUGUAGCGGUGGAAUGCGCAGAUAUCAGGAAGAACACCAACGGCGAAGGCAGCUCGCUGGGACGGAACUGACGCUGAGGCGCGAAAGCGUGGGGAGCGAACCGG